UUCUUUUCUCUUUCUCUUCCUUCUUCCUCCUCUUUUUCUCCUUCUCUCUCUUCCUCUUUUUCUUCAUCUCCUUCCAUUCUUUUUUCCUUGCUCUGCAAGUUCAAAUACUUUGAUUUCAAACUAGAUAGCUCAAACUUGUCAUCAUAUGAAUCUCUUUUUGACAAAGUUUCAAAGUCGUCUUUUUCGGAGCUCGAAUGAAGUUGGAAAUGGAAGUUUUGUG
RNAcentral lists this long non-coding RNA (220 nucleotides) under Cicer arietinum (chickpea). RNAcentral's name for it is "long non-coding RNA (CARI_LNC002325)". The record is from RNAcentral. Lineage: Eukaryota; Viridiplantae; Streptophyta; Magnoliopsida; Fabales; Fabaceae.